This 90-nucleotide transfer RNA is filed under the name Crassvirales sp. Its description in RNAcentral is "tRNA-Ser". It matches the Rfam family "tRNA". From Rfam's summary of the family: Transfer RNA (tRNA) molecules are approximately 80 nucleotides in length. Lineage: Duplodnaviria; Heunggongvirae; Uroviricota; Caudoviricetes; Crassvirales. The record is from RNAcentral.
GGAGGAUUAAGCCUAAUUGGUAAGGCAAUAGUCUUGAAAACUAUUAGUAAUCAAUAAAAUGAUGUGUGAGUUCGAGUCUCACAUCCUCCU